CACAGACCAGAUUCCGAAUCACAAACUGAAAUAGAUAUGCUCGUAUUUGCUUUGUGAAUUGGUUCCAUUUUAUCUUGGAGUUUGGAAAUUCAACCCAUCUCCUGAUCAGCAGUCCCAAUCUAAAUUAAGCUCUAAGUUUAUUUAAACUAAACAAAAUUAUACCUAGUAGCACAAGAGAUUAAUUGGCACAUAAAGCUAUCCAUCUUUCUUCUUGUUAGGAUAAGGAGAGCCAGCUGUAUUCUCAAAAUAAAACACGCCUUCAUCAUCUUUCAAACUCCAUGGUUCUAUAUGUCAUCCAUUAUAAUUUUAUGUGUUUGAUUUAGGGUAAGAAUUAUGUCGGUAAAUACUGAAGAAUGUCUGUAUUUCAGCAAAUGAACAAAUGUGAAAAUCAUGAAAUCAUGUCCAAGCCAAAUUUGUAUUUAGUUUUUGACUACCUAAUCACAAUGGCAUUACUGAAGUUUUGAAAACAGUUCAAGACAUUUAAAGACUUAAGAUCAUUUUAAAAUAUUGCAAUUCUAGCAC
Pelobates cultripes (western spadefoot toad) is the source of this 522-nucleotide non-coding RNA. The record is from the annotation of a GenBank genome assembly. Lineage: Eukaryota; Metazoa; Chordata; Amphibia; Anura; Pelobatidae.